This 244-nucleotide ribosomal RNA is filed under the name Escherichia coli. RNAcentral describes it as "partial 23S ribosomal RNA". It matches the Rfam family "Bacterial large subunit ribosomal RNA", at positions 2699 to 2925 of the family's 2925-position model. Lineage: Bacteria; Pseudomonadati; Pseudomonadota; Gammaproteobacteria; Enterobacterales; Enterobacteriaceae. The record is from RNAcentral.
GGACGCAUCACUGGUGUUCGGGUUGUCAUGCCAAUGGCACUGCCCGGUAGCUAAAUGCGGAAGAGAUAAGUGCUGAAAGCAUCUAAGCACGAAACUUGCCCCGAGAUGAGUUCUCCCUGACCCUUUAAGGGUCCUGAAGGAACGUUGAAGACGACGACGUUGAUAGGCCGGGUGUGUAAGCGCAGCGAUGCGUUGAGCUAACCGGUACUAAUGAACCGUGAGGCUUAACCUUACAACGCCGAAG